GGCUGUGUUGCUCUGCAGUAAAGCACUUACCUAACAUGCAGGAGGCCCUAGGUUCAAUCCCUAGGAGAGCCA
RNAcentral lists this transfer RNA (72 nucleotides) under Mus musculus (house mouse). It matches the Rfam family "tRNA". Rfam says of the family: Transfer RNA (tRNA) molecules are approximately 80 nucleotides in length. Their secondary structure includes four short double-helical elements and three loops (D, anti-codon, and T loops). The record is from Rfam by way of RNAcentral. Lineage: Eukaryota; Metazoa; Chordata; Mammalia; Rodentia; Muridae.